This is a long non-coding RNA of Centropristis striata (black sea bass), 902 nucleotides long. RefSeq lists it as uncharacterized. Lineage: Eukaryota; Metazoa; Chordata; Actinopteri; Perciformes; Serranidae. The transcript has 3 exons. The record is from RefSeq and is a predicted model, not a curated record.
UGUGAGAUGGAGCUGUGCAACAAACUUCAGGGAUCCUGCACUAAGAAAUGCUCAGUGAAGAAGAAGUGGGGGAGAGCCGGCCCUCAUCGCUAUGACCUGGAAGAUAUCAAGCCUCCUCCUUUUGACCUAUCAUGUGGUGAACCCUGACUUGAAGCUUCGUCCCCGACAAACGGGCCUGAAAUCUCUGAGUGUUAUUUUUGCUGGCAGAUCAUUUUCACAUGCACCUGAGAAGACGUUUAUUUAUUUAUUUUUUGCAUAAUCUGUGGGGUUUUGAUUAAAUCCAGUGAUUCUUUAAAAUUCUUAUGGGAUUUUGAAAUUUAACAAUCGGUGGUGAAAGAAUAGAAAUUAAGGACAAAAGUAAUCAAGAGGUUUUGUUUACUUUGUGGACUCCUGACCGGAACUGGGUUCUUUUAAAAUGUACAUUGCCAUCACAAAGUUUAGAAUAACCUGAUACAUUCCUCCAAUAAUAGAGAUAAAAAGAGAAGAUUUUGCCAAAUGUUUCAUUUAAAAAAAUAGUUUUUAUUUAGAAGAUAUGGUUAUGGUAUGCUAAAGUAUUUAGAAUAUAUGCAAAACUAUUUCUGUUCAUUGGCAUGUAACAUAAUUAAAAUGUGAUUUAAAAUGGAUUAAUACAAAUUAAAAUGCUUGUUGCUCUUUUCCAGAAAACAAGUUUUCGAUUUCUAAUCAAGACUUUUUAAAUUUGUAAACAAAAUUUUGAAUUUUAAACAAAACUUUAUUUUUUUAAAUAAAAUGUUUAGACUUUUGAACAAAACUUUUUGGUUUGUAUACAAAAAAAAGAAGCUCUGCGGCAAGAAGGAACAUGAUGUGAAUGUAAAUGUUAAAUGAAGAAUGUCCAGCACUUCUUUAUUAUAUUAUUAUUACUAUCAGCAAAAGAAAACCCAAAA